UUAAGUUCAGCGGGUAUUCCUACCUGAUCCGAGGUCAACCUUGUGAAAAAACUUGCGUUUCUCCGAGAAGGGGAGAGCGACCGGCGGGCGUGGGUCCUUGCAACUCGGUACGUGCUUCGAAAAGAAAGCUCGGUGUAUCGAGGGUCCCACGGACGCCGUCAUUGUCUUUGAGACCAGUUGGUCGGGGUAACGACCAACGU
RNAcentral lists this unclassified non-coding RNA (200 nucleotides) under Phaeococcomyces sp. RNAcentral describes it as "partial internal transcribed spacer 2". The record is from RNAcentral. Lineage: Eukaryota; Fungi; Ascomycota; Arthoniomycetes; Lichenostigmatales; Phaeococcomycetaceae.